UUUCCGACGCUAUUAGGCACUUCAUUACCUCCCUGUGUUCUUUCUCGGUUUUAUUCUUCUCGAUUGAAAUCUCUUCCCUCUUCUUUGUUCUUGACUUUAAUCAACAUCAAUUCCCAACAGUAACAUGAAUCGAUUGAAGUAAUUCCAGAUUGUUUCACAGAAAUCUCACAACAAAUAUCCCAGAAGUUCAAAUGAAACCCAAGCUUUUCUCUGCACCCAAUUUUCUAUCGAAAACUGUUGAACUCGCUUACAAGUUUCCUAGAACGAGAUUUCAAUUGUUUCCAUAUUUUCUCCCAUUCUUUCAUCGUCCCCAACUGAGUUCACACAAUUUCUAUCAAAAAAAUUUGGUUUGAAUUUUUUCAGGCUUCAUGUUUGUUCCCUUCACUCUUCCUAAUUAGAUUCUCUAACCCAACUUAUCAAUUUCCGCUUCAACACAUUCUGGAACAAAUUUGCAAGCUAACUGGAUAUUCAUUCCUCUAAAGACUUGCAGGGAUCUGUGUGCUUAUUAUAGAAGAUGCUCAAGGUCCUAUUCGCUGGGGAUCAUAUUGGCAAAGCUGAAUCUGAACUGUCUAUGGAGGAACAAUAUAAUCAGCAAUCAGAUUCAACUUCAGCGCAUUCUGUGACAGAUUUUCAUGCUAAUUGGAUAUCAGUUCCUCUAAAUACUUGAAAUUGGUGGUGAUCAGAUUGCAUGACAGAGUUCUUGAUAUUUGAUGAAGGUAGUCUCAACAAAAUCAGUAUGGUGAAGGAAAUGGCUCAUGAUGUCUGGAUCAAAGCAGAUUCACCCGUUGAUUUUGAAGUGCAGAAACAAAUAAACAUUUAGGUCCUGUUUGGUAUAGUUUUCAAAAACAGUUUUCUGUUUUUAAAAACAGAGAAAACAGGAAACAGGAGAAAACGCGUUUGGUAAGG
Molecule: long non-coding RNA, 906 nt
Organism: Papaver somniferum (opium poppy)
Lineage: Eukaryota; Viridiplantae; Streptophyta; Magnoliopsida; Ranunculales; Papaveraceae
Exons: 4
Source: RefSeq, a predicted model, not a curated record